GAUGAACGCUGGCGGCGUGCCUAAUACAUGCAAGUCGAGCGAACAGAUGAGGAGCUUGCUCCUCUGACGUUAGCGGCGGACGGGUGAGUAACACGUGGAUAACCUACCUAUAAGACUGGGAUAACUUCGGGAAACCGGAGCUAAUACCGGAUAAUAUAUUGAACCGCAUGGUUCAAUAGUGAAAGACGGUUUUGCUGUCACUUAUAGAUGGAUCCGCGCCGCAUUAGCUAGUUGGUAAGGUAACGGCUUACCAAGGCAGCGAUGCGUAGCCGACCUGAGAGGGUGAUCGGCCACACUGGAACUGAGACACGGUCCAGACUCCUACGGGAGGCAGCAGUAGGGAAUCUUCCGCAAUGGGCGAAAGCCUGACGGAGCAACGCCGCGUGAGUGAUGAAGGUCUUCGGAUCGUAAAACUCUGUUAUUAGGGAAGAACAAAUGCGUAAGUAACUAUGCACGUCUUGACGGUACCUAAUCAGAAAGCCACGGCUAACUACGU
Molecule: ribosomal RNA, 496 nt
Filed under: uncultured bacterium
Lineage: Bacteria
Description: partial 16S ribosomal RNA
Rfam family: Bacterial small subunit ribosomal RNA
Source: RNAcentral